RNAcentral lists this non-coding RNA (27 nucleotides) under Homo sapiens (human). Lineage: Eukaryota; Metazoa; Chordata; Mammalia; Primates; Hominidae. The record is from RNAcentral.
GACAACAACGGCGGCCGUGACUAUGCU